RNAcentral lists this transfer RNA (42 nucleotides) under Scyphostegia borneensis. Its description in RNAcentral is "partial tRNA-Trp". The record is from RNAcentral. Lineage: Eukaryota; Viridiplantae; Streptophyta; Magnoliopsida; Malpighiales; Salicaceae.
CCCGCUUAGCUCAGAGGUUAGAGCAUCGCAUUUUGUAAUGAC